Molecule: ribosomal RNA, 440 nt
Filed under: uncultured bacterium
Lineage: Bacteria
Description: bacterial SSU rRNA
Rfam family: Bacterial small subunit ribosomal RNA
Source: RNAcentral
CCUACGGGCUGCACCAGUGGGGAAUUUUGCGCAAUGGGGGAAACCCUGACGCAGCAACGCCGCGUGGAGGAUGAAGUCCCUUGGGACGUAAACUCCUUUCGAUCGGGACGAUUAUGACGGUACCGGAAGAAGAAGCCCCGGCUAACUUCGUGCCAGCAGCCGCGGUAAUACGAGGGGGGCAAGCGUUGUUCGGAAUUAUUGGGCGUAAAGGGCGCGUAGGCGGUGCGGUAAGUCUGUUGUGAAAUCUCCGGGCUCAACUCGGAGUCUGCAUCAGAAACUGCCGUGCUCGAGUGUGGGAGAGGUGAGUGGAAUUCCCGGUGUAGCGGUGAAAUGCGUAGAGAUCGGGAGGAACACCUGUGGCGAAAGCGGCUCACUGGACCACAACUGACGCUGAGGCGCGGAAGCUAGGGGAGCAAACGGGAUUAGAUACCCCAGUAGUC